GACGAACCGUGCGAACGUUAUUCGGAAUCACUGGGCUUAAAGGGCGCGUAGGCGGGCUGUCAAGUCUGGGGUGAAAUGCUGCGGCUCAACCGUAGAACUGCCUUAGAUACUGACGGCCUCGAGGAAGGUAGGGGCAUGCGGAACUGUAGGUGGAGCGGUGAAAUGCGUUGAUAUCUACAGGAACUCCGGUGGCGAAAGCGGCGUGCUGGACCUUUUCUGACGCUGAGGCGCGAAAGCUAGGGGAGCAAACGGG
RNAcentral lists this ribosomal RNA (253 nucleotides) under uncultured bacterium. RNAcentral describes it as "partial 16S ribosomal RNA". It matches the Rfam family "Bacterial small subunit ribosomal RNA", at positions 524 to 776 of the family's 1533-position model. The record is from RNAcentral.